Molecule: ribosomal RNA, 253 nt
Filed under: uncultured bacterium
Lineage: Bacteria
Description: partial 16S ribosomal RNA
Rfam family: Bacterial small subunit ribosomal RNA
Source: RNAcentral
UACGUAGGGGGCAAGCGUUGUCCGGAAUCAUUGGGCGUAAAGAGCGUGUAGGCGGCCCGGUAAGUCCGCUGUGAAAGUCCAGGGCUCAACCCUGGGAUGCCGGUGGAUACUGUCGGGCUCGAGUCCGGAAGAGGAGUGUGGAAUUCCUGGUGUAGCGGUGAAAUGCGCAGAUAUCAGGAGGAACACCAAUGGCGAAGGCAGCACUCUGGGACGUGACUGACGGCUGAGACGCGAAAGCGUGGGAGCGAACAGG